Oryza sativa Japonica Group (Japanese rice) is the source of this 1565-nucleotide long non-coding RNA. RefSeq lists it as uncharacterized. The record is from RefSeq and is a predicted model, not a curated record. Lineage: Eukaryota; Viridiplantae; Streptophyta; Magnoliopsida; Poales; Poaceae.
UAAAUGGACCACAAUUUGGAAGGUGUGCCUCCUGUAGAUUCCUCGGUCCUGUGGUGUGGUGGUUGUGCCCAUUUGGUGUUAUUUCACUGGAUUUAUAAGCCCAUCAACCUAUAAGUCUACCUCUCAAUGGAGUUCAAUUGAUUGUUCGGUUGAUUUCCAUCGAUUCUCCUCCAAUUACGUAAUUUUCUCUUCAAACAAAUAAAAUUUCAAGUACUAGUGGAGAUAGAUUAUUCUUAAACAAAAUAUGCAUGCAAGCAUAGCUAGUUCCCCUUUAUUUUGGAUAUAUUGAUGGUCGAAAUUUGUCUAUAACGACCGUCAGCACAUGUUCUUCUUUACUUUUUGAGUGGAUAAGGAUGUCAUCAAGAAAGACAAUGACAAACUUAUCAAGAUAAUCCAACAGUGUGUGAUUCAUCAAUCUCAUAAACACAGCUGGAGCAUUGGUAACUCCAAAUGGCAUAACUGUGAAUUGGUACAGUCCAUACCUUGUUGUAAAUGUUGUCUUUCGCCUAUCUUCUUUCUUAAUCAUCUAUUGAUAAUAUCCUGAUCUCAGCUCAAUCUUAGAAAAUAUCUUGGCACCUCUCAACUGAUCCAAUAGAUCAUCAAUAUCUUGGCAACUAUCAAAUCAAUUUGAUGUUGUGACUGAUCGUCGAUUCUGUUAGAAAUUAAUCUUGUCGUUUGUUAAUUUCAGCAUGUUUAUCUAUAUGCAUGUGUGUGUUGCAUGGCCUGGAGAGCUAGCUAUAUGUACGUGGGUGCUGCUGUGCUGCAUGGCUCAGUGAGUAGUGGUUGGCAGUGAGUAGUGAGCCAAUAAAUUAAGAGCCAGGAGAUGAGAGCACAUAUAUGUAGCUUAGUUAGUUAGCCAUGCAUAAUUGUGGGCAAGUGAUUAGCCGAGUCUUGCAUGGAUUAGUUAGUUAGGCCUGCACGUGGUGGAUUAGUUCUCCUAGAUGCAUGCAGCUAGCAUAUCGCCAGGCCUUGAGGAGAUGCGGCCAAGGAAGUGGGGCGUCGUGUGCGAAGAAAGUGGAUCAAGUAGCUCAUCCAGUGUAUGUGUGCAUUAGUAGCUUAUAAAUAGCUGCUCAUUGUAACCGUUUAGUGUGUGGAGUAAAGAAAAGAAAGAGAAAAGGCACAAGUUGUGCGUGGUGUCACAAAUACUCUGUGUGUUGUGUUCUUCUUCUUCCUUGUACUCUUCACGUGUGCAUCAGAAGAUGAAGUGCACUCAUACAGGCACUACUAAUAAUCCCGGCGACCUGCUCCAUCCCAAACUCCCGAUGCUAGCUUCAUGUUUUCUUGGCGUAGUGCUAUGCGUUAUUUUUCAUGUUAAUUCUAUGGUGGUUCGUGUGUUCUCGUUGUGUUGCCGACAGUGCUAUGUAUGUACUUGUAUAUAUGCUGCCUUGCUGUCUCCUCUAGAAUGUGAGAAUGGUGACGGUUUGGAUUGCCACGGCAGCCGUCAACAAGACAGGCGGUGCUAUAGCUUGUUCCAUUUGUAUUAUUUUUUAAAACUUUUUGCAAUCAUAUAAUUCGAUGUAAUAAUAUAUUUUGUAAAUAAGUUACUGAUCGUUUUAUUCUUCUCA